Long non-coding RNA from Acinonyx jubatus (cheetah), 3780 nucleotides. RefSeq lists it as uncharacterized. The transcript has 3 exons. Lineage: Eukaryota; Metazoa; Chordata; Mammalia; Carnivora; Felidae. The record is from RefSeq and is a predicted model, not a curated record.
AAAAAUAUGAAAAAAAGUGUAUAUUCAUUUAUUUAAUAAAUAUCCAAUGAAAGCAGACAUAGGAUCACAUCCUAGAGAUAGAGAUACACAUCACAAGUACUCGGCUUUGAGAACUCCGUUUAUUGGGAGAAUCAGAUACAUUUUUAAACAUGUGACUCAACAUUUAGGUCUUUGCAAGACAGCUCACGUUCAAAUCUGUGACUAACUCAAGCUUUUAUUUAGAUGUGCUAAACCAAACUAUUAUUUGGCCUUUAUUUUAUCUUUUUUUUUUUCACUUUCUUUUUACCCCAAAGCAUUUGAGCUAUUCCUUUUUAUUGAUUUUUGAUCCUCUAUUGUCUGUAACUUGUAAUUUUAAAUAAUUACCAUCAGAGCCAUAAUAGAGGUAGCCACCAAGUUGUAGAGGUGUAUCCAGAAGAAAAGAAAAUAAGCAGGCCUGGGGAUGGGGAAAUUGUUUGAAGUGAGUCUUGGGAUUUCCAGGUGGACAAGCAGAGGUACACAGCCCAAAGUAAAGGCACUGCAUAUUGUAGGACAGGGAUUGGAAAAUUUGGUCUUUUUUGCCUGGUCUUUCACUAGGUAUCCCUUUAGUCUCCCUCAUAGAACAUAUACGAGAUCCAAAAGUAAGACAGAUACUGACCUUGCACAGUGUUACUCUCUCCUUCUCAUGGGAUAAUACAACCUGAGUUUCCUUUUUCUUUUUACGCAAAAGAUUUAAGAUUUCCUGGAGUUUCUCCUGCAAUAGAAACAAAUUCUCUGUGGCAAAUGAGCAGAGCACCGGGUUGUGAAGAAGACUUGAGGACCAAUAAAAAUAUGAUGAGCGGGACCUAACACAAGGAGUGAAGCAGGAUCCACACCAAGUUUGGGGUCUGGUGCCUGGAGACCAGGAUCCGUGAUUGUCACCAAUAGAGAAUAUUAUGGGCAUAAGUGAUGGAACGUGGUUUGUGUUCUGAGAUUUAUAUUGAGCAGCCAAUCUUACUUUGUGACGCUCCUCAGCCUCACUGGAGGGAUACAAUCCGUUUAUUCCAUGACACUGGGUUGAGAAAGCGUUUACACCCUGCUGCUCAGCAGAAAAAGCCUUAGCGACUGCCAGCAUUCUCCCAGAGCCGCCUUGUCCGCCUUCGCUCUGCAGCACCUGGGAUCGGAGCUGUUUGCCGAUGCCAGCCAGCCUCCCCAGACGCUCAUUGGGCUGGAAGUGUGGACUCUCCAAGGCCCUCCAGCACUCAGGACAAGAUAAAGGAGUACUGUGUUCCUCCCAGCUCCUCAGGAGACACACCAGACAAAAGCUGUGCCCACACUCAGUGGUCACCGGGCUGGUGAAAUAGUCCAAGCAGAUGAAACAGGUCAGUUCUUCCCUGAGAUUCUCCAUCAAAUCUGCUGUAGACAUGUUUACAAAGAAAGACAUCAAGGCAAGGUGCUGCCUCUAUUCCGGGAUUAGAAAAGUCCUCCCUGAGGUUCUAUUGUUUUGAGUAACAGGUGGCUGGUCAGUUUCUGUGUUGUUAAUACGAAAAACUCUUACUCUCCUCUGUGCCUGAUUUCACCAGUUGACACAUACUCUCCCAACAAAAGGCCAAUUAUGACUUAACGUGGAACCCUUGUACACUGGGUUCAUCAUCAACCCCAGACUUUUAAGGAAUGUCUCACUGUGCAAGCAACAUACUGGAUACGGAGGGUACUUGUUUCUAACAGACUUUCUUAAAGAGUAGGCUACUGUAUGUAAAUAGCACCAGAAAAACAAUCAAGUACCUUGAUCUUAAGCUGAAAGGUUAGGUAAUUUGUUGUGAGCCAUUACAGAGAUUUAAGGUAUAAUGAUCUCUAAUAAUAUCCGAAUUGGAAAUAUGGCCCAUUUAGGAAAACUCCACUAAUGGAAUCUAGUUAAGAAACCAAAAGCAGAAAAUCGUAAUACCGAUCCCUUCUCUUGAUAGGCCCUUUUAUGUGCUUGACCAAAGCCUAAAAUAUUUUUCUCCUUAAUCAGGUACUGUGUACUUUUAUUUAAUCUUGUUCGUCCCAACAAAAUGAGAGCAAGUCCAUUGAAAUAUUCCCUGACUUUAAACGUAUAAUGGAUUAUCAGAGUUAUAUUUAGUGCUCUGCCCUGCAGACCAUGAUACCUCUCCACCACCAUUGAAGGCAUGCAAAACCUCACUAUUGUUGGAAGUUGCCUCAAGAGGCCAUAACGCUAUGGACUGAAUGGGGGCAAAAAAACUGUACUUCAGAAUAAAUAUAAUUUUAUUCACUUAUUUUCACUAGGUCUUCUUCAACCCCGUAUCAGUUCUUACUGAACAGGUAUCCAAUGUGCAAAUAGUUUCAGACCUAUGUGAAACUAAAUGUCUAGUAUGGAAAUGGUGUCCAGUGACCAUUGAGAUUAUUAGUGCCUUAUUCUAUAAAUCUGUAUUGCCAUAUGCUCAUGAGGCAGCACUUGUCAUGGCCCACGACCCGCUCACUGACUGCCAAAAAGUGCAAACUUAGAAGUUUUUCCUUAGAAUCUAACCAGUUUCUCCCUCCCAUUGAGUUCAUCAUACCUUAUUUUUGUUCUUAUCCUGUCUUGUGCCAGCGUUGGCAACUAUCCAUGUGUCUCUAUUACCUAUGCUAUUUCAUUAAUUGCUUUCUGAUUUUUGCGGUUGCCACUGAUUCUUCUUCCCCACUUACCUCCAACAGAUGCUGGGUGUUUUCCUAUCUUGAACUUUUGUAAAAAGAAGUUUUCUGGAAGUUUCCUCCAUUUUUCUUCCUCCUAGUCAACACUCAUCCUUUUGAAGUUAUUAAUCCAAAUGUUUUCAUUGUAUGUCCUUUGUGUAACAUGUGUGAAUUACUGAAAUGAGAAUUUACAAAAACAUACAACAACAACAACAAAAACAACAAGUAACACAGCAAGUUAUAAUAAUUUAAAUAGAAAGAGAGGAAGCAUCAAUUUGGGGUCACGAAACUUCUCUCUACUACUUAAGAUUACUUCUAGCCUAGUAACUGAGGUACAGCUUCACAGUAUUUUUUAGGAGUUAGUCUUAAGUAAGGGUCUUGCAAAAAAUAAAAUCUAUAAUAACAUUAACUGCCUUUACUGGAAAAAGGAUUUAUGAACUACCACCUACAUUCAGUGUGUUAUUCCCACACAAACCCAGAAGGAGCCUUUAACAUUGACCAGGACCAUUAGAAUAAGCCUUUCAGUAGAUAUAUGGUACAUCACAGAUACUGUAUUCCAAUUUGGAAUGGGGAAACCGACAUGUUCUAAGUUAAAGUCACACUGAUCUGUUCCAUCCCACGUCCCUCUUCUAAGCAAACUCCUUUAAUAAACUCCUUAAUACAAUAACCAUAUCUUAUUCAUCAGUGACUAGAAGAAUUAUUUGCAUAUAGCAAGGGCUCAACUUAUUCGUAAGUUGUAAAUGAAAAAACAGAGAAACUAUAUUGUUACACAACCACAGUCUUUUAUCUCACUGGAAACCAAGUAAUUAUGUAGUCCAACUACCAUGUAUAGAUGGUGAAGAAAAUUGAGACAAAUAAAUUGAGUUGAUCCCCUGACUACUUGCUUACUACAUGAGUCAGGUUGGGACUGGGAAACCGGGCCUCUGUUGUUCAUACGCUACACUGCAUCUCACUUGUUGACUUGUGAGUGGAUGAAAUUUUCCAGUUAUCUCAAUACAUGUGGAAAAGAUAGAUUACUCAACAACUGGUUUGGGACAAGUGAGGGUAGCCAUCUGGGAAAAAAAGAAGAAAAAGACAAAGUUGGAUCUCUACCUAGUAGUACUUUGGGCCUGCCAGUAACACCUGGAGACCAGCACUCCCCUGGAAGGCGCCUGG